Molecule: long non-coding RNA, 5954 nt
Organism: Felis catus (domestic cat)
Lineage: Eukaryota; Metazoa; Chordata; Mammalia; Carnivora; Felidae
Exons: 5
Source: RefSeq, a predicted model, not a curated record
AUCACUGAGAUACUGACAUUUAUUGAAUGCAUAAUUGUAAGGAAUUUUAAAAAAGUACAAGAGUCCGCCUUAUCUGUAGUUUCGCUUCCGCACUUUCAGUUACCAUGGUCUGCAAGCCAAUGAUCCUUUCUGACGAAUCAGCAGAAGGUCAGUAGUAGCCUAACAAUACGUCACGAUGGCUGCGUCAUCCACCUCACUUCAUCUCAUCACGUAGGCAUUUUAUGUCACAUCAUCACAAGAAAGAAGAUUAAAAUCUUUAGUUUUCAUGUGGGAAGAGGUCAUCAGCGGACAUGACCACUGAUUGACCUGUAAGCUGGAUCCAGACAACCAGAGGCAUCUCACCACCUACCUUCCCCUAUCCUUGGAAUGUGUGCUCAGCCUACCCAUUCCCAUAGUGGGAACCAUUUUGAAGGAUGCAGCCUUGAGAGAACAAUUUGUAGAUGAGAUUGUCUGGAUGGAAUGCAUUACUGAACCCAGGUGGAAAGUGAAUUUGCCAACCAACUUGAAUAAAGCAGAUGCCUCGAUUCCAAUUUGGUGGCUUCUGAUUGUUGGAGGAGUAAUGGAGCUAACAUGUAGAGGCAGAUAACACAGACUUCACACAGGGAGGCUCAGGGUGUGAAAACUUCAUGGUAAGUAGAAUAUAACUAAAUUAUUUGAUCUGCUAUUAUUUUUAGAACUUUCAUAUUUCAUAACCUUUCUUUAUUCCAUUUAUUUUCCCAGGAGAGAAAGCUCAGGCUCUUAAAUUCUGCAUAGUCAGAUUUCAGACUGGUCUUUAUAACCUUAAAAGCCCUUUCUCUGGAAGAGAAACAUAAUUAAACUGAAGACACAAAUUAGAUCCACCAGUCUGACAAGGGUUAUAGUGCACCCAGACCCCUCCCCAGGGCUGACCUAUCACUGGGUCUUCCUUUCCUCAGUCCUUUCCUCACUUCUUUGCAGUGUAUCUCCUGAGAGCACUCCCCAACCAUCCUUAUGCACACAAUUCUUCAUCUCAGAAUGUUUUCAAGAGAUCCAGUCUAAGACAGAAGUGGAUUAGUCCAGGGCAGUGCCUCCAAUCUUUCUUAAUUUCUCAAAGACCAGUAAAGGUCAAAACUUUUCUAAAGCACAUUUAGAAGGUAGAUGUCUUCUAGAGAAAAUUGGAGUAGGGACAAUUGGGUAAUUAUGGUGGAAGGAGAGACGAGGUAGAUAUUUACGAAAAAAUGUGGUCUAUAAUCAAGAGAAAAGAGAUAGGGCUUUUGAUGUCAAAAGACAUGCCAUGUUGAUGUGUCAGUUGCCCUGUUAACAGAGCUUGAGAACACUGACAUUUGAGGCCAAACCUACUUCGUUCUCGUUCCUGAGGUAUCAGUGGAUGUUGCUAGAGGGACAUGUGGAGGGGUUCAGUGUGCAGAGGCAUCACUCAAGGGAGAAAGCAAAGUUAAGUGAACAGCUUCCUUAUCUGUGAAAAAUGAUGAAGUAUUUGAGAUGUAGUGGAUAUGUCUGGGCAGUGUUGCCAGAGAUACUAGGGUAGCAAGAUUGAAGGCACUGGCUUUAGAAUUUUAGGUUCAAAUCCUGGCUCUGUCCCUUACUAGCUGUUGUCUAUGGUUAAGUUACUUGACUUCUUUGAGACCAGAAAUAAUGGAGAUAAUGUCAAAGAACAGUUGUGAGAAUUAAACAAUAUACAUAAUACAUUUAAUACAGUGAAUAAUAGCAAGUAUUAAGUACAUAGGAAUUUAUACAAUGCAGUAAUGUUUUUUGAAUACCCAUGUGAUAGCUUGCAUGGAAUACUUCAGCCUUUGCAGUGGAUAAAUAGCUCUUUCCUUUGUUCUAAGACAUUGAAGAAGAUAUUAAGGAUAUUAAGGAGAGUUUCUUCAAUGAAGCUGAAUUAAAAAUACAUAUCUACUCUAGAGUGUAAAUUAUCCUCUUCAUUUCUCAUAGUUUUGUUGAAUCAUUACUUAGGCAUAUAAAUAUUUACCUGCGAAUUGAUAAACAUAAUUUAUGCAAUUCAGGAAAAUGUCAAAGUUCAUGGGAAGCUGUAAUUGUUAGACUGAAAAAGUCACUGGGGAUUUGCUGUAUUUUAAUAUCAUCUGCUAAUUUCUUUAUCUAAAUUUUAAAAUAGUGUAUUUAGCAUUCUCAAUGUCAGUUUGAAAAAGGCCCUUUCAAACUAAAGCAGCAAAACUUAUGGCUUCUAUUAAGCAUGAUAAUUAGGGACGUGAGUGAGAACCACAGAAUUUUAAAGCUAGAAGUGACAUCAGAGACUCCGUGCCUCAACCCCUUUUAUGGAAAUAAAAGAUAAGCUGGUGAAGGGACUUGCCAGAGUCCUACAGCUUGUUAAUGAAAAGACUAAUAAUAGCCAUUACCUCCAGACCUAAAGUCCAGAACACUUGCCAUUGCACCAAACAACCCAUUCAGUCAGUUCCUGAAAAGACACAGACAUGAUGAGCUGGUGGUGGCUUGAGAUCGUCUGUGUACUGGAUUCUCCAUUGAUCAGCUCAGUAAACUACACCCAUGCACCUACCCACACUCCACACACAAUUUAUGUUCAUAACAACUUAAAAGAGAAAUAUGAAUCCAACGUGAAAGAGUAUAGUUUGGAAAUGGAAUCAAUGCAAAUUGUCUUUGAAGUUUACAUAAACACUUCGCUCUUUGACAGUAAUAAAGUAGUGCCAGGUUUCUGGAACUAGAAGAAUAUUUUUGCCUGAAGAAAAAAGAAUUGGAUUUACUAUGAGAAAGUUAAUGAUUAUGAAACAUGUAUUUGUUUAUAUUCAAAAGUUGUCAACAUGAAGUAUAAUGACUAAAAACUAACAUUAACAAAAUGGAAAGGAGUCUAAAAUAUACAUCUUAGCCCAAAAUGUGUACCAAAGUUGUUGUAGAACCAAAUGUCUCCAUUUUUGUUUUCAAAUGUCCUGCCAGGACUUUGACUGACAGAUAUACAUCUAAUUUGUAUAUGUACCUCAAUAUAUUAUCAUUAAAUAUCUUAAAGGCUCCAGUGGCUUCCUGUGUGUUUGUAGUGUUUCCCACAACAAACUGUAGCAGAUACAAAUACAUAUAUAACCACUUGCCAUAUCCAGGAGGCACUUUCCAUAUAUCUGUCCUCUAUUGUAUUUAUUGCAGCAAAACUUAAAAAAUACAUCUAAUUUUAUUCCUUCUGUUUUACCUUUUCAUGGUAAUUUCUCUGACCACCUACAGUUAUUAUUCAGUCUCCAGCAAUAGCUUUAACUUUUUGAGUCAUGACUCCUUUGUGAAUCAGAUGAAAAUAGAAUUUUUCUCCCUAGAACAGUAUAUAAAACACAUAUAUAACAAAUUUGCAUAUGAUUUAUGUUACUAAACUGGAAAUUGAUUUUGAUCAUAGAAUAUUUUAUUUAUGGAAAAGAUAAUGUAAAAUCUAAUAGUGAUAUUCUGGAAAUAAUUGAAACAAGUCUAAUUUGUACAACCCCCCUCCCCCCCAAAAAAACCUCCCAAAGUAAAUAUUAACUCUGCCCAAAUUAAGGUUUCUGAUGUUAAACUUGAAAAAGAGGUUGUCAUAGCAACGUGAACAUUUAUCUUGGGCACUAAGCUGAUUUUGACAUUUUAAUUUUGAUGGCAGCUAGUGCUAAAAAACUAUAACUCAAAGGUAGAUUGUUGUCAAAGAAUAUCAGAAUUUCCCAAGACUCUUUUUGGUUGAAUUUAUAUAGCAUCAUUUCCUUUGUCCUCAAAUCAAUAAGUUUACCUUUGCAAAGCUUGCAUUAUUGAUUUCCUCUAUGCCAGAAAAGAAAAGACUGUGAGUCCACAUUUAAGUUUUAAAGUUGUCUAAAUAGAAGGAAUCUGUGAGAGAAGUCUCCAGUAUUUCCAAUUAUUUUCAGAUUUCUUUCUGCAGGGACACUGAGAAGGCCAUGUAACUCUUGACUAUAACCUAUAAAAGCACCUUCCCUAGCACUGCAAGGUUGGCAUGGAUGUCUGUGUGCAAUUCUGGCUUUCCUACUGGAGCUUGGACAUAGUUUGAUCAACUAGUAUGCUUUUGGCUGCAAAUAAAAAAGCCCAAUUCAAGAAAAAAUUAUACAGUAAAAAAGUUAAUUAUCUUACAUAACAGAAAGUCCAGAAGUAGAAUUAGUUUUGGUCAGGUUGGUGAUGCAAUAAUUCAAUGGUGACCAUCAAGGAUCCAUGUUCUAUAUUUCUGCUCUGUUAUCCUCAGUGUGAGAGUGUUGAAUUUAGACUUGCUAUUCUUAUGGUUAUACAAUACCAACACUAUCUGAAUCAACAUACAUUCUUGCUCACCUCCUAAAUGAGAGAAAACCCUUUCCCCCAACUAUAAUUGGACAAAUGUAGACCAGUGUCUUCUUUACUUACAGCAGGAGCCAGAGCCAUGUCAUGUGCUGACUGCUUUCUGUGAAGCAGGAAUAACUUGACAGUGAGCCCUUACAGGAACCAACUACAGAAGGAGUGGCUGUUGUAUGAAACCUAAGUGAAAAGGUACCAAAUUUAUAUUAAUGCAUAAAUAGAUAGACUGGUGAAACAGAAUAGAAACAUCCAAGUAGACCCAAAUAUAUAUGGAAAUUUAGAUUAAGAUAAAAGUGGCAUCUACAACCACUGGGAAAAUGAUGGACAUGUAAAUAAAUGGUGUUGUGAUAACUGGAUAGCAAUUUGAAAAAAGAUAUAAUUAGAUCUGUAUCAGAAUUCCAAAUUAAUCUGUUUUAAAUAUAAAAAUGGAACCAUCCAAGAACAGAAGAAAAUAUAGGUGAGUUCCUUUAUAACCCAGGGGAAAGCCUUGAUAAUGUUGAUUAAAAAUACAAAUGCAAUGAAAACAAUAUUAAUAAACUUGACUACAUGUAAAAAGUUACAUUGCAAAACACAGACAUACACAAACAUACAGGGAAAAUUUUUUUUGUAGCAUGUAUUGAAAAUAAAGGUCUAAUCUCCCUAAUAUAAAAAAAAACCUCUUAAAAUUGAGUGAAAAAUACCCAAACCCAAUAUAAAAAAAUGGGCAAAAGACAUGAAAUGACAGUUUACAGAAAGGAUAGGCAGAUGACCUUUAAACAUAUGAAAACGUGUUCAAAUUCACUCACAAUAAAAGAAAUGAAAAGAAGUUAUACUGAAAUAUCAUUUGUCACCUGGUAGAUUGGCAAAAAUUUAAAAAUUUGGCAAUAUACUUUAUUAGGCAAGGUUGAGAGAAAACAUCACUCUCCCACACUGCUGAUUUAUAUUUAUAACAUUUCUAAGGAUGUUUAAGCCUUGUUUUAGUAAUUUACUUCUAUGAAUUUACCUCUGAAAGUUAAAAAAGCACAAUGUUAAUUAUAGCAAUAUUAUUUUAAAGGUAAAAUAUUAGGGGUGCCUGAGUGGCUCAGUCAGUUAAGCAUCCUACUCUUGAUUUCAGCUCAGGUCGUGAUCUCACAGUUUGUGGGUUGGAGCCCAGUGUUGACUCUGUAGGGUGGAGACCAGCAUUGGGCUGUGUGCUGACAGUCUGCUUGGGAUUCUCUCUCUCUCUAGCUCUGUUUUUUCUCUGCGUCUCCCCUGCUCCUCCAGUCUCACUCUCUCUCUCUCUCUCUCUCUCUCUCUCUCUCUCUCUCUCUUUCUCUCUCAAAAUAAAUAAACUUAGAGAAACGUAAAAUAUUAGAAACAACUUUAAAGCCAUUUCAUAUGCUACAGGAUGAAUAACCUAUGGUUCAUCCACAAAAUGACUAUGUAGUAAUGGAAAAAAGAAUCAAGAGGAAGAUCUGUAUAAACUUAUAUGGAACUAUUUCCAAGAUUUACUGAUAAGCAAAAAAUAAAAGGUAUAAAAGAAUUGAUCUUAAAUGCUACUUUUUGUGUAAGACAAAUGGAAAUGUAUAUCUGUAGUUUGUGAAAACAAACACAAGAAAGGUAAACCAGAAACAACUAUAAAUUGUUACCAAAGGAGAGUGAGUGAGAAGGAAAUAAGGAGUAGGCAUACUUGCUUUCCUUCCUUCGUUCCUUCCUUCCUUCGUUCCUUCCUUCCUUCCUCCCUUCCUUAUAAAUAUUAUUUAUUU